GCUACUGCCAUCAGAGUUCGAUUAAGCCAUGUUAGUCGAGGGUACCUCUUCUUCUUCGGAGGAUGAGGUAACCCGGCGGACGGCUCAGUAACACGUGGAUAACUUGCCCUUGGGUCUGGGAUAACCCCUGGGAAACUGGGGCUAAUACCGGAUAGAGCAUCAAUCGCUGGAAUGCAUGAUGCUCGAAAACUACGGUGCCCAAGGAUAGGUCUGCGGCUGAUUAGGUUGUUGUUGAUGUAAUGGACCAACAAGCCUACGAUCGGUACGGGUUGUGAGAGCAAUAGCCCGGAGAUGGGUUCUGAGAAAAGAACCCAGGUCCUACGGGACGCAUCAGGCGCGAAAACUUUACAAUGUGCGAAAGCACGAUAAGGGAACUCUGAGUGCCCCCUAAGGGGGCUGUUCUAGUGUCUAAAAAGCAAUAGAAGUAAGGGCUGGGCAAGACCGGUGCCAGCCGCCGCGGUAACACCGGCAGCCCAAGUGGUAGCCACGUUUAUUGGGUCUAAAGCGUUCGUAGCCGGCUUGGUAAGUUCCUUGGUAAAUUUAGCCGCUUAACGGUUAAGCUUUCAGGGAAUACUGCUUGGCUUGGGACUGGGAGAGGUCAGAGGUACUCCAGGGGUAGGGGUGAAAUCCAUUAAUCCUUGGGGGACCACCGGUAGCGAAGGCGUCUGACCAGACCAGCUCCGACGGUGAGGGACGAAGGCUAGGGGCGCGAACCGGAUUAGAUACCCGGGUAGUCCUAGCUGUAAACGAUGCGGGCUAGGUGUUGGCAUUACUGCGAGUGGUGCCAGUGCCGAAGGGAAGCCGUUAAGCUCGCCAUCUGGGGAGUACGGUCGCAAGGCUUAAACUUAAAGGAAUUGGCGGGGGAGCACCACAACGGGUGGAGCCUGCGGUUCAAUUGGAUCAACGCCGGA
RNAcentral lists this ribosomal RNA (911 nucleotides) under uncultured archaeon. Its description in RNAcentral is "bacterial SSU rRNA". It matches the Rfam family "Archaeal small subunit ribosomal RNA", at positions 23 to 922 of the family's 1478-position model. The record is from RNAcentral.